ACGCUGGCGGCAGGCCUAACACAUGCAAGUCGAGCGGAAACGACUUAUCUGAACCUUCGGGGAACGUUAAGGGCGUCGAGCGGCGGACGGGUGAGUAAUGCCUAGGAAAUUGCCCUGAUGUGGGGGAUAACCAUUGGAAACGAUGGCUAAUACCGCAUGAUGCCUACGGGCCAAAGAGGGGGACCUUCGGGCCUCUCGCGUCAGGAUAUGCCUAGGUGGGAUUAGCUAGUUGGUGAGGUAAUGGCUCACCAAGGCGACGAUCCCUAGCUGGUCUGAGAGGAUGAUCAGCCACACUGGAACUGAGACACGGUCCAGACUCCUACGGGAGGCAGCAGUGGGGAAUAUUGCACAAUGGGCGCAAGCCUGAUGCAGCCAUGCCGCGUGUGUGAAGAAGGCCUUCGGGUUGUAAAGCACUUUCAGUCGUGAGGAAGGURGURKWGUUAAUAGCWGYAUYAUUUGACGUUAGCGACAGAAGAAGCACCGGCUAACUCCGUGCCAGCAGCCGCGGUAAUACGGAGGGUGCGAGCGUUAAUCGGAAUUACUGGGCGUAAAGCGCAUGCAGGUGGUUUGUUAAGUCAGAUGUGAAAGCCCGGGGCUCAACCUCGGAAUAGCAUUUGAAACUGGCAGACUAGAGUACUGUAGAGGGGGGUAGAAUUUCAGGUGUAGCGGUGAAAUGCGUAGAGAUCUGAAGGAAUACCGGUGGCGAAGGCGGCCCCCUGGACA
This 723-nucleotide ribosomal RNA is filed under the name Vibrio sp. 12F07. Its description in RNAcentral is "bacterial SSU rRNA". It matches the Rfam family "Bacterial small subunit ribosomal RNA", at positions 33 to 735 of the family's 1533-position model. Lineage: Bacteria; Pseudomonadati; Pseudomonadota; Gammaproteobacteria; Vibrionales; Vibrionaceae. The record is from RNAcentral.